Molecule: ribosomal RNA, 1407 nt
Filed under: uncultured bacterium
Lineage: Bacteria
Description: bacterial SSU rRNA
Rfam family: Bacterial small subunit ribosomal RNA
Source: RNAcentral
GAUGAACGCUGGCGGCGUGCUUAACACAUGCAAGUCGAACGAACCUUCGGGUUAGUGGCGGACGGGUGAGUAACGCGUGGGAAUCUGCCCUCAGGAGGGGGAUAACGGUUGGAAACGACCGCUAAUACCCCAUAUGCCGAGAGGUGAAAUGAAUUUCGCCUGAGGAUGAGCCCGCGUCUGAUUAGCUUGUUGGUGAGGUAAUGGCUCACCAAGGCAUCGAUCAGUAGCUGGUCUGAGAGGAUGAUCAGCCACACUGGGACUGAGACACGGCCCAGACUCCUACGGGAGGCAGCAGUGGGGAAUUUUCCGCAAUGGGCGAAAGCCUGACGGAGCAACGCCGCGUGAGGGACGAAGGCCUCUGGGCUGUAAACCUCUUUUCUCAAGGAAGAAGAUAUGACGGUACUUGAGGAAUAAGCCACGGCUAAUUCCGUGCCAGCAGCCGCGGUAAUACGGGAGUGGCAAGCGUUAUCCGGAAUUAUUGGGCGUAAAGCGUCCGCAGGCGGCCUUUCAAGUCUGCUGUUAAAGCGUGGAGCUUAACUCCAUCAUGGCAGUGGAAACUGAUUGGCUUGAGUAUGGUAGGGGCAGAGGGAAUUCCCGGUGUAGCGGUGAAAUGCGUAGAUAUCGGGAAGAACACCAGUGGCGAAGGCGCUCUGCUGGGCCAUUACUGACGCUCAUGGACGAAAGCCAGGGGAGCGAAAGGGAUUAGAUACCCCUGUAGUCCUGGCCGUAAACGAUGAACACUAGGUGUCGGGGGAAUCGACCCCUUCGGUGUCGUAGCUAACGCGUUAAGUGUUCCGCCUGGGGAGUACGCACGCAAGUGUGAAACUCAAAGGAAUUGACGGGGGCCCGCACAAGCGGUGGAGUAUGUGGUUUAAUUCGAUGCAACGCGAAGAACCUUACCAGGGCUUGACAUCCUGCGAACCUUUAAGAAAUUAGAGGGUGCCUUCGGGAACGCAGUGACAGGUGGUGCAUGGCUGUCGUCAGCUCGUGUCGUGAGAUGUUGGGUUAAGUCCCGCAACGAGCGCAACCCACGUUUUUAGUUGCCAGCAUUUAGUUGGGCACUCUAGAAAGACCGCCGGUGAUAAACCGGAGGAAGGUGUGGAUGACGUCAAGUCAUCAUGCCCCUUACGUCCUGGGCUACACACGUACUACAAUGCUACGGACAAAGGGCAGCAAACUCGCGAGAGCUAGCAAAUCCCAUAAACCGUGGCUCAGUUCAGAUCGUAGGCUGCAACUCGCCUACGUGAAGUAGGAAUCGCUAGUAAUCGCAGGUCAGCAUACUGCGGUGAAUACGUUCCCGGGCCUUGUACACACCGCCCGUCACACCAUGGAAGUUGGCCACGCCCGAAGUCGUUACUUUAACCCUUGUGGAGAAGGACGCCGAAGGUGGGGCUGAUGACUGGGGUG